RNAcentral lists this transfer RNA (59 nucleotides) under Camelus bactrianus (Bactrian camel). It matches the Rfam family "tRNA", at positions 7 to 64 of the family's 71-position model. From Rfam's summary of the family: Transfer RNA (tRNA) molecules are approximately 80 nucleotides in length. Their secondary structure includes four short double-helical elements and three loops (D, anti-codon, and T loops). Lineage: Eukaryota; Metazoa; Chordata; Mammalia; Artiodactyla; Camelidae. RNAcentral also lists the same sequence under 2 other names. The record is from Rfam by way of RNAcentral.
AUAGCUCAGUGGUAGAGUGCAUGCUUAGCGUGCACGAGGUCCUGGGCUCAAUCCCCAGU